This 109-nucleotide ribosomal RNA is filed under the name uncultured bacterium. RNAcentral's name for it is "partial 16S ribosomal RNA". The record is from RNAcentral.
CUGCGGUGAAUACGUUCCCGGCUCUUGUACACUACCGCCCGUCAAACCAUGAAAGUCACCAACACCGAAGUCCGAUUCGUCGGCCUAAGGUGGGGGGAUGAGUUGGGUU